CUGGGCUCCGAUCUGGGUGUGUGACUUCCGGAGAGCCCAAUGGCGAGGAGGGGGGGGGGGCGAUUACGGCAGGCUCGAGCUCGGCACGAGCGCGGCCGGCGUGAGGAAUUGUGGUCGCCUCUCCCCGGGUCACCAGAAUCCCCACAGACCUUGGAGAUGAGGAGCGCUGGAAGAUUGUGGCCUGGCCAUCCCUUACGUCAUGAAAGUGAUUUGUGCCACAUUGCUAAUUUGGUGCAAUCCAUAACCUUCUGAUCUCCUGUGUUUGUAAUUGCUUUUCAGUUUGCAGAAUAUGUUUUCUCUGACAUAGUUCUUGAAUACAGAAAUUACUAUUGCUCACCUGUAUGUAAGAAAUCAUGUUCCCCAAUGUUUGUUGCUUUACCUUUGUUUAAUUAAAAAUGCACAUUUUAGGAUUCUUUCAGAACAAAGCUUUGCCAAAUCCCCUUUACAUCCAAGGAUUUGAAAAUGUAUAAAGGCUGCAUUGAAUUCAGGAUGGGUCAAGGGGCAAAAAAAGGGUAGAAGGUCACUGCAUAUUGAUUGUGGGUCAGUAGACAACAUGGCAUGUAGUAUGUGUCCAAAAAUCCCCUUAAAAACUGUAUUUAAAAAACAAGAUUAUCAACAUCUGCUGUGUUAUUUUGUGAUUUUACUGAAUUCCAGACAUUUCUGGUGUGUGUGAUACAUCCACAUGGAAAAAUAAAACUUUAAAAAUGCUGAACAAAACU
Dermochelys coriacea (leatherback sea turtle) is the source of this 719-nucleotide long non-coding RNA. RefSeq lists it as uncharacterized. NCBI's taxonomy places the organism in Eukaryota, Metazoa, Chordata, Testudines, Dermochelyidae. The transcript is spliced from 2 exons. The record is from RefSeq and is a predicted model, not a curated record.